AGUUUGGCGUGGGCUGCAGUUUUAGUACCAUUUCCUUCUGCACGUUGUUACUACUGGCUGUACCUGCUGAGCAGCAGAUCCAUAGCUGCAGAGCGUGCCAAGGACAAAUAAAUUCAUUUUCACCUUUUAUGCUUGAGCAGGUUGCUGCCCCCCUACAAACAGGUUGCAGCCUUGUGUUCUGUAAGAAGGUACUGCAGCAUCAGCCCUGUGUAACUGUGUCACACCACGGAGUACCACUCUGUGGGAAAGUGUAUUUACACAAUAAAACACCUUAAAUUUGCCUAUGCAAAACAGACUGGGAGUGAUUCACUAAUGUGUGAGCAAAUUGUGCAAGGAACUUCUUUCAGAAAAGCAGCACAGUUGGUCGUGGGGUUGUGAUUUCCUAUUUUGUGGGUGUGGGACGAGCUGUGGAGUUGCCAGGGCUGGGGGACAAACUGUGACAAAGUGCCACCAAGGACAAAAGCUCAGGAGCUGAAGUCCAGAGGGUUGGACCUGGUUUCACAGCAGUGAGACCAUUCAGCAUCAGUGGUGAGGACUCAAAGGGAGAUGACUGAGAGAGGCAGAGAAAUACUUCUUUUCAGGUUACCUGCUACUCUCUGGUGAAUCAAGAUGAGGAAGAAAAGAGCCCAGGUGGUUUAGUUGUUGUAUAAGUAUUUGCAAAGGUUUCUCAAACCCUUCCCUGAAGCAUCUGAUUUUGCUGCUGAUUCAGCUUUAUGGUCUAAACAGAGCACUUGUCUGAUCUGCUAUGGCAAAUUCCAAAUUCUGAAUAUCAUACAGAAUAAUCCAUAAGUAAACAGUGAUGUUCUCUGUAAAGUGUUUCACUUCCAGGCACUGGGCAUUUUCAUGGUUUUACAUGUAUGCCUUUGAAACUUUAACUCUGCUAAUCAGUGGAGUAUUCAAGGAUCUGUCCAGCUGUAUCCAAGGAUCUGACCAGGAAUGCUGGUCACUGUGAGCACUGGAAGCCAGUCAUUGGGUUAUUUUCAUGUGCAAUUCUUGUAUGAAGAAUGAUCAGUGUUUGUUGAAGCUUGUUUUGUUUUUUUUUUCAGGGUUGGGAUUAAAUGGCCUUUUAAGGAGCUGCAGGUGUGUGUGUGUGCAGCUGCAAUGGGUUAGCCCAAACAGCAGGAAAGGUGAAUGGUGCAGAGUGCCCUGGGGGGAGUGGUGCAGCCUGCAGUGACAAAACCUGUCCUGGCUCCAGCCCCUGAUGUGCAGGAAUCAGCAGCCACUUGCCCUCUGACACUGGGUUGGGAUGGGAAAGGUGAGUCCGGGCUCAAGAUGUUGCUUAUUCAUGUAACAGUUUGUGUCAAGUAGGCAUUUUCUUGUUCCUUCCUUUUGAUCUUUUUUACACACCCUAAUUAUGGAUACAGUCUUGACAAAGAUGAUAAAGGGCCUCAGGGGUUAUAAAACAGGAGGUGAGGUUAAGAAAAUUAUGUUUAUAUUCAUUAGAAUAGAAGAGAUUAAGAGGGGUCAUGACCAAGGUGUACAAAAUCCAAAAAGUACUGAAGAAGAAAUGACGUCUCCAGAAUAUUUAAGAGAGGAGCUGUAAAGAGAGGGGUAAGUGGAGAGCAGCUGGCAUUUUGAUUGGAAUUGGUUGUGGGACAUUUUUUAAAGGGUGUUGCUCUUGCUGAGGAAAAUUAACUUGCACUGAUGGGUGAGCUGUAGGCAGAUAACUUAGGACACAGAUAUGUUGUUGGCCAGAAUUAUAAGAUAUGUCAUAUAACUUCUUUUUGGAAUGUCUGAGUGGGUUUGGGCAGACAGUAAUGGAUUAACAAAGGGAUUCACCUUUUGAGCUUGUUUGGAAUAAUGUUGGAUAUGUUGGAAGGGGAAAGUCCCACAUUUUUAUAUUGAAAAGGCUUUGUGCAAACUUGUUAAUUAAAGCAGUGCUGUUAACUUGUUAACUAGAGAGGCUUUUGGGGGAUCUAUGCACAAAGAUAACUUUGGGGGAAUAGCAUAGCAAAGAAAACUUUUCAGUAAUGUGUAUUGGUGACAAACCAAAGAUUGUGUGGCCAAGAACAGCACCAGCUGUGCAGCCACAUAGGCUAAAAUCAGAAGGACAGAGAGGCAAAAUCAGUUAUGGCUGUAAAAGGUCAUGAAAUUACUUACAAACACACUGGAAGUAAGAGGAAGGCAGAAGUCCAUCUGGAAGCAAGGGAAGCAAAUAAAUG
This is a long non-coding RNA of Ficedula albicollis (Collared flycatcher), 2162 nucleotides long. The record is from Ensembl. NCBI's taxonomy places the organism in Eukaryota, Metazoa, Chordata, Aves, Passeriformes, Muscicapidae.